CCGCGUCCCCAAGUCAGGCGUGAUU
Molecule: ribosomal RNA, 25 nt
Filed under: Sciadopitys verticillata
Lineage: Eukaryota; Viridiplantae; Streptophyta; Pinopsida; Cupressales; Sciadopityaceae
Description: partial nuclear 28S ribosomal RNA
Source: RNAcentral